This 497-nucleotide ribosomal RNA is filed under the name uncultured bacterium. Its description in RNAcentral is "partial 16S ribosomal RNA". It matches the Rfam family "Bacterial small subunit ribosomal RNA", at positions 28 to 507 of the family's 1533-position model. The record is from RNAcentral.
GAUGAACGCUGGCGGCGUGCCUAAUACAUGCCAGUCGAGCGAACGGACGAGAAGCUUGCUUCUCUGAUGUUAGCGGCGGACGGGUGAGUAACACGUGGAUAACCUACCUAUAAGACUGGGAUAACUUCGGGAAACCGGAGCUAAUACCGGAUAAUAUUUUGAACCGCAUGGUUCAAAAGUGAAAGACGGUCUUGCUGUCACUUAUAGAUGGAUCCGCGCUGCAUUAGCUAGUUGGUAAGGUAACGGCUUACCAAGGCAACGAUGCAUAGCCGACCUGAGAGGGUGAUCGGCCACACUGGAACUGAGACACGGUCCAGACUCCUACGGGAGGCAGCAGUAGGGAAUCUUCUGCAAUGGGCGAAAGCCUGACGGAGCAACGCCGCGUGAGUGAUGAAGGUCUUCGGAUCGUAAAACUCUGUUAUUAGGGAAGAACAUAUGUGUAAGUAACUGUGCACAUCUUGACGGUACCUAAUCAGAAAGCCACGGCUAACUACGUG